Molecule: ribosomal RNA, 464 nt
Filed under: uncultured Comamonadaceae bacterium
Lineage: Bacteria; Pseudomonadati; Pseudomonadota; Betaproteobacteria; Burkholderiales; Comamonadaceae
Description: partial 16S ribosomal RNA
Rfam family: Bacterial small subunit ribosomal RNA
Source: RNAcentral
CCUACGGGAGGCAGCAGUGGGGAAUUUUGGACAAUGGGCGAAAGCCUGAUCCAGCAAUGCCGCGUGCAGGAUGAAGGCCUUCGGGUUGUAAACUGCUUUUGUACGGAACGAAAAAGCUUCUCCUAAUACGAGAGGCCCAUGACGGUACCGUAAGAAUAAGCACCGGCUAACUACGUGCCAGCAGCCGCGGUAAUACGUAGGGUGCAAGCGUUAAUCGGAAUUACUGGGCGUAAAGCGUGCGCAGGCGGUUAUGUAAGACAGAGGUGAAAUCCCCGGGCUCAACCUGGGAACUGCAUUUGUGACUGCAUGGCUAGAGUACGGUAGAGGGGGAUGGAAUUCCGCGUGUAGCAGUGAAAUGCGUAGAUAUGCGGAGGAACACCGAUGGCGAAGGCAAUCCCCUGGACCUGUACUGACGCUCACGCACGAAAGCGGGGGGAGCAAACAGGAUUAGAUCCCCUGGUAGU